ACGCUGGCGGCACGCCUAACACAUGCAAGUCGAACGAAGUAGCAAUACUUAGUGGCAGACGGGUGAGUAACAUGUAGGUAUCUGCCCUUUGGCCUGGAAUAACACGAGGAAACUUGUGCUAAUACCGGAUAAGUCUUUACGGAGAAAGCUUUAUGCACCAUUGGAUGAGCCUGCACUUGAUUAGUUUGUUGGUGGGGUAAUGGCCUACCAAGACUUUGAUCAAUAGCUGAUUUGAGAGGAUGAUCAGCCACAUUGGGACUGAGACACGGCCCAAACUCCUACGGGAGGCAGCAGUGGGGAAUCUUGCACAAUGGAGGAAACUCUGAUGCAGCGAUGCCGCGUGAGUGAAGAAGGCCUUUGGGUUGUAAAGCUCUUUCGUCGGGGAAGAAAAUGACUGUACCCGAAUAAGAAGGUCCGGCUAACUUCGUGCCAGCAGCCGCGGUAAUACGAAGGGACCUAGCGUAGUUCGGAAUUACUGGGCUUAAAGAGUUCGUAGGUGGUUGAAAAAGUUGGUGGUGAAAUCCCAGAGCUUAACUCUGGAACUGCCAUCAAAACUUUUCAGCUAGAGUUUGAUAGAGGAAAGCAGAAUUUCUAGUGUAGAGGUGAAAUUCGUAGAUAUUAGAAAGAAUACCAAUUGCGAAGGCAGCUUUCUGGAUCAUUACUGACACUGAGGAACGAAAGCAUGGGUAGCGAAGAGGAUUAGAUACCCUCGUAGUCCAUGCCGUAAACGAUGUGUGUUAGACGUUGGAAAUUUAUUUUCAGUGUCGCAGCGAAAGCGAUAAACACACCGCCUGGGGAGUACGACCGCAAGGUUAAAACUCAAAUGAAUUGACGGGGACCCGCACAAGUAGUGGAGCAUGUGGUUUAAUUCGAAGAUACGCGCAGAACCUUACCAACACUUGACAUGUUCGUCGCGACUUUAAGAGAUUAAAGUUUUCGGUUCGGCCGGACGAAACACAGGUGCUGCAUGGCUGUCGUCAGCUCGUGUCGUGAGAUGUUGGGUUAAGUCCCGCAACGAGCGCAACCCUCACUUUUAGUUGCCAUCAUUAAGUUGGGCACUCUGAAAGAACUGCCAGUGAUAAGCUGGAGGAAGGUGGGGAUGACGUCAAGUCCUCAUGGCCCUUACGUGUUGGGCUACACACGUGCUACAAUGGUAUCUACAACAGGAAGCAAAACGGCAACGUUAAGCAAAUCCCUAAAAGAUACCUCAGUUCGGAUUGCACUCUGCAACUCGAGUGCAUGAAGCUGGAAUUACUAGUAAUCGUGGAUCAGCGUGCCACGGUGAAUGCGUUCCCGGGUCUUGCACACACCGCCCGUCA
Molecule: ribosomal RNA, 1319 nt
Filed under: uncultured Alphaproteobacteria bacterium
Lineage: Bacteria; Pseudomonadati; Pseudomonadota; Alphaproteobacteria
Description: uncultured alpha proteobacterium 16S ribosomal RNA
Rfam family: Bacterial small subunit ribosomal RNA
Source: RNAcentral